GAGAGAGAGAGAGAGAGAGAGAGAGAGAGGAGUUUGAAGAGAGAGAGAGAAGAGUUUGAAAUUGAAAAGCAGUUGAGUUCGGUUUUAAUCAGACAAAAGUGGUAACAUUUGCCAAACUAUGAAGAGUCUGAAACUCUGAACAAGUGGAGGGAAAAUGUUGAGUGGGAAAGGAAAUACACAGUUUAUUGAAAUUUCUAUAAGGCCUGGGCUAUAUGAAAACAAAAUAAAGCCUCACUUCAAAUCCUUGUCUGGAAAGCACUCUCCACGGAAAUCUCUAGACUGGCUUGGCUCUAAAUCAUUUUUCAAUCCUAAUGAUGAAAUUUGAAACUAAAAAAUUGGUACAAAUAUUAUGGGUGUACGAACC
RNAcentral lists this long non-coding RNA (364 nucleotides) under Amborella trichopoda. RNAcentral's name for it is "long non-coding RNA (ATRI_LNC000473)". Lineage: Eukaryota; Viridiplantae; Streptophyta; Magnoliopsida; Amborellales; Amborellaceae. The record is from RNAcentral.